This 321-nucleotide unclassified non-coding RNA is filed under the name uncultured fungus. RNAcentral's name for it is "partial contains 5.8S ribosomal RNA and internal transcribed spacer 2". The stretch from base 1 to 133 matches the Rfam family "5.8S ribosomal RNA", at positions 22 to 154 of the family's 154-position model. Lineage: Eukaryota; Fungi. The record is from RNAcentral.
UGGUUCUGGCAUNGAUGAAGAACGCAGCGAAAUGCGAUAAGUAAUGUGAAUUGCAGAAUUCAGUGAAUCAUCGAAUCUUUGAACGCACAUUGCGCCCCCUGGAAUUCCGGGGGGCAUGCCUGUUCGAGCGUCAUUACCCCCCUCAAGCGUCAGCUUGGCCUUGGGUCCCGUCCGGCGAGGGCGAGCCCGAAAAUUAGCGGCGGUCCGGGUCGGAUUCGGGUGCAGUCAAAUGUUUUCCACCGCGAACUCCGGCCCGUGGCUGGCCGAAACCACCCCCCAUUCCAAACGAUUGACCUCGGAUCAGGUAGGGAUACCCGCUGA